UUUAUUUUGCAGGUGGAAUUGCAGGGGAAGAAGAACCCUUGAAAUUUGGCCUCAGGAAACAGCAAUAGGUUAAUCUUAACUGUCUUUUCCAUUUUCAGCAAAAAGUAAAAGUGCUCAGAAUGAGCUUUCCUUCAAUUCAGUAGAAGGUGCUCUAUAUUUUGCAGGUGGAAUUGCAGGGGAAGAAGAACCCUUGAAAUUUGGCCUCAGGAAACAGCAGGAGGAGCUCUUUAUUUUGCAGGUGGAAUUGCAGGGGAAGAAGAACCCUUGUAAUUUGGCCUCAGGAAACAGCAAGAGGUAGAAUUGCAGGGGAAGAAGAACCCUUGAAAUUUGGCCACAGGAAACAGCAAGAGG
Ornithodoros turicata is the source of this 351-nucleotide long non-coding RNA. RefSeq lists it as uncharacterized. The transcript has 3 exons. NCBI's taxonomy places the organism in Eukaryota, Metazoa, Arthropoda, Arachnida, Ixodida, Argasidae. The record is from RefSeq and is a predicted model, not a curated record.